CCUACGGGUGGCUGCUAACUACGAUCAGCUGACCAAUGCUUACAUCAACGUCUGGGCGGCAAAGCAGAUGGGAGCCAAGAGCCUUGUGUUCAUUUCCUUCCCGCGUCACAUGAGCCUCGAGCUCAUUAGCCGUGCCUGGGCAAUCACGCAGGCGGCGGGAAAGGACCUCGGCAUUGCGACAUACUAUGAAAGCGCUUCCGACCCUCUCAGCGAUGUCGGCGUCCCGGGCGCCCAGCAGUACAUUCUUGAGCAUGUUCCCGCAUGGGUCCAGAAGUAUGGGACCGACACCGCAUUCUAUACGACCAAUCUGGCGCUGCAGGAGCCGCUGCUCAAGCAGAUCAUGAAAUACGGAGGAAUGUCGGUCGGGAUCCUGUCUCCUACGCUGGGAUACCCUGGUAGUC
RNAcentral lists this ribosomal RNA (401 nucleotides) under uncultured prokaryote. RNAcentral describes it as "partial 16S ribosomal RNA". The record is from RNAcentral.